AACUCGAUUUUACAGUUUUGCCAGGAAAACUCGAUUUUGCCGUUUUGGCGGAAAAACUCGAUUUUGCCGUUUUGGCGGGAAAACUCGAUUUUGCGGUUUCGACGGACAUACUCGAUUUUUAUGGAAGAGAAGAUUUUAUCGGAAGUCUUUCCAACGUUGAUUUCGUCGUAACCGAUUUUGACCCCCACAGUUAGUCCCCCAGCUCGUUAGGAUCGUGAGGUUCUUGCGAGUGGCUUAGACAUGUUUGAAUGAGUUAGAUGGAAUCGACUGUCUGAAAAUCCGAAGAUGAAUAUUGAAUCUUAUUACCUAUAAGUAGCUGGAGUAAGUUUUCAAAUUUUUUACUUUCUCAUUUCCACAAAUCUUCUCCCACAUAAGAUCCUUUGC
This 384-nucleotide long non-coding RNA is filed under the name Brassica napus (rape). RNAcentral's name for it is "long non-coding RNA (BNAP_LNC005221)". Lineage: Eukaryota; Viridiplantae; Streptophyta; Magnoliopsida; Brassicales; Brassicaceae. The record is from RNAcentral.